Molecule: long non-coding RNA, 545 nt
Organism: Pectinophora gossypiella (pink bollworm)
Lineage: Eukaryota; Metazoa; Arthropoda; Insecta; Lepidoptera; Gelechiidae
Exons: 2
Source: RefSeq, a predicted model, not a curated record
AGCAUUGAUAUGUAUACACUUUGGUACCAUGUCACAUUAACUUUUUUGACAAACUGAACUGUAAGUCUCACUAAAUGUCAAAUAUGUUAGUGCGACAGAGUCCUAAAGUGGGUACAUUAUAUUGCUCAUGACUGUACCCACACCUCACCGAGCUUUCUGUUAGACCAACGUGAUAGGUGAGCCGUAUCGCCGUCUGUAAUGGUCGAGACGAUGUUGAAAACUGCACUUAUGAUAACUUAAUAACAUACUGGUACCAACCCCAUCAAUCCUGGUGCCAGGGUUACUUAGGGUCGGUUAGGGUUAUUGAGGGUUUCUAUUGGGGUUGGUAAUCCACCUCACAACCCACCCGAUAGAAGAAGAAUAACAUACUGGUGUAAGUCCGGUACCGGGAUUCGAUCCCGCGCUCCCAUUUGAGAAGCAAGACGGUGUACCACAAGACCACAGUGACUCCAUCAAAUAAAUAAAAAAAAAAAAAAAACAAAUCAAAACCAGACAUAACAUUAUGAAUUCAGUACAACUUGGGCGGCCUUAAUGCUCCAGGAAAC